Molecule: non-coding RNA, 29 nt
Filed under: Mus musculus (house mouse)
Lineage: Eukaryota; Metazoa; Chordata; Mammalia; Rodentia; Muridae
Source: RNAcentral
UAAGUAUUACCAGGCUACUAAAAACACCA